RNAcentral lists this ribosomal RNA (531 nucleotides) under uncultured eukaryote. RNAcentral describes it as "SSU rRNA". It matches the Rfam family "Eukaryotic small subunit ribosomal RNA", at positions 566 to 1118 of the family's 1831-position model. The record is from RNAcentral.
GCCAGCAGCCGCGGUAAUUCCAGCUCCAAUAGCGUAUAUUAAAGUUGUUGCAGUUAAAAAGCUCGUAGUUGAAGUUCUGAUUGUUCGGGCCUCGCGCUUUAUAGCCGAGGAACCGACAGUCAUCCGCUUGCAAAUAUAUGUUCGCCUUUAACCGGGUGGCUAUAUGAGUAAGCAAUUUACCUUGAGAAAAACAGAGUGUUCCAGGCAGGUUUGUCCGGAAUGCAUUAGCAUGGAAUAAUAGAAUAUGACUGAAGUCGAUUUAUUGGUUUAAGGCUUUAGUAAUGAUUAAUAGGAACAGUCGGGGGCAUUGGUACUUGACAGUCAGAGGUGAAAUUCUAGGAUUUGUCAAAGACUAACAAAUGCGAAAGCAUUUGCCAAGGAUGUUUUCAUUAAUCAAGAACGAAAGUUAGGGGAUCAAAGACGAUCAGAUACCGUCCUAGUCUUAACUAUAAACUAUACCGACUCGGAUUCAGAUGAAUCAAAAAGUUCAUUUGGGACCGUAGGAGAAAUCAAAGUUUUUUGGGUUCUGGG